CAUUCAAUAGGCGGAGGAAAGAAACCAACAGGGAUUGCUUUAGUAGCGGCGAGUGAAGCGGCAAAAGCUCAAAUUUGAAAUCUGGCUCUUUCAGAGUCCGAGUUGUAAUUUGAAGAAGGUAUCUUUGGGUCUGGCUCUGGUCUAUGUUUCUUGGAACAGAACGUCACAGAGGGUGAGAAUCCCGUGCGAUGAGAUGAUCCAGGCCUAUGUAAAGUUCCUUCGAAGAGUCGAGUUGUUUGGGAAUGCAGCUCUAAGUGGGUGGUAAAUUCCAUCUAAAGCUAAAUAUUGGCGAGAGACCGAUAGCGAACAAGUACAGUGAUGGAAAGAUGAAAAGAACUUUGAAAAGAGAGUGAAAAAGUACGUGAAAUUGUUGAAAGGGAAGGGCUUGAGAUCAGACUUGGUAUUUUGUAUGUUACUUCUUCGGGGGUGGCCUCUACAGUUUAUCGGGCCAGCAUCAGUUUGGGCGGUAGGAGAAUUGCGUUGGAAUGUGGCACGGCUUCGGUUGUGUGUUAUAGCCUUCGUCGAUACUGCCAGCCUAGACUGAGGACUGCGGUUUAUACACUAGGAUGUUGGCAU
Molecule: ribosomal RNA, 576 nt
Filed under: Candida tropicalis
Lineage: Eukaryota; Fungi; Ascomycota; Pichiomycetes; Serinales; Debaryomycetaceae
Description: eukaryotic LSU rRNA
Rfam family: Eukaryotic large subunit ribosomal RNA
Source: RNAcentral